Oreochromis niloticus (Nile tilapia) is the source of this 700-nucleotide long non-coding RNA. RefSeq lists it as uncharacterized. The transcript has 3 exons. The record is from RefSeq and is a predicted model, not a curated record. NCBI's taxonomy places the organism in Eukaryota, Metazoa, Chordata, Actinopteri, Cichliformes, Cichlidae.
UUAGAGAGGUGCUGCAGUUACCUGGGCACCAGGUGGAUAGAAAGACAAAAAUCAAACAAACGUGCUUUUUCGUUCACGUGCGUUUGUUACAGUUGGCUUAUUUCAGUUUCUGUGGCAGAGGUCCAUCCAUACGGGUCUCGAGGGUGGAAAUAUGGACGUUAUUUUUAUUUUUAUAGCAAAAACUGACAACGGCGCAAUGGUAGAGUGCAAACUGCAUCAGGCACAGAAACAUCCGCAAUAUGCUGCUAACACAGCUUAAGCUCUUUGAAGAUGACAGCUGGAGUUUGAGUCUCUGAUAUAUGGAGAACAGAGCACACCUCCAACCACAUUCCCAGAUGGCACUGGGGGACAACAGGACAGAAAAACAGGUAACAAAGUGAAAGAGACGUGAAACAGAAGAGAGAGCUGAGCGUCUGCAGCUGCUGAGAUGUGAUGUUUCUGGAUGUUCCCCCCACACAGACAAAUAAACAGCACUUUAAAGACAUUCGUAGGUUCAAAUGUAAAAUGCUUUGGUGUUUUUGGUGUUGAGGCCAAAGAGACCUUCUGUAUUUGCUCUGUCAAACUGUGUCUUUGGCAUUUUUCAAAUACUCAACUAAAGAAAUGGGAACAAAUAUGUGUUUGUCUGGUUGCACAACACACGAUUUUUAAUGAGCUGUCUUGUGCUUGAAGACACAACACAGGCUCAUCCCUUAAGUUAGAU